This 403-nucleotide ribosomal RNA is filed under the name Verrucomicrobiota bacterium. RNAcentral's name for it is "Verrucomicrobia bacterium partial 16S ribosomal RNA". It matches the Rfam family "Bacterial small subunit ribosomal RNA", at positions 355 to 776 of the family's 1533-position model. The record is from RNAcentral. Lineage: Bacteria; Pseudomonadati; Verrucomicrobiota.
UGGGGAAUUUUGCACAAUGGGGGAAACCCUGAUGCAGCGACGCCGCGUGAUUUAGAAGGCCUUCGGGUUGUAAAAAUCUUUUCUAUGGGAAGAAAAUGAUAGUACCAUAGGAAUAAGGACCGGCUAAUUACGUGCCAGCAGCCGCGGUAAUACGUAUGGAGCAAGCGUUAUCCGGAUUCAUUGGGCGUAAAGCGCUCGUAGGCGGUCUGUUAGGUCGGCAAGUUAAAUCCGGGGGCUCAACCCCCGUCCGCUUCCGAUACCGGCAGACUUGAGUUUGGUAGGGGAAGGUGGAAUUCCUAGUGUAGCGGUGGAAUGCGCAGAUAUUAGGAAGAACACCGGUGGCGAAGGCGGCCUUCUGGGCCAUAACUGACGCUGAGGAGCGAAAGCUAGGGGAGCGAACAGG